UACGGAGGGUCCAAGCGUUAUCCGGAAUCAUUGGGUUUAAAGGGUCCGUAGGCGGUUUAGUAAGUCAGUGGUGAAAGCCCAUCGCUCAACGGUGGAACGGCCAUUGAUACUGCUAGACUUGAAUUAUUGGGAAGUAACUAGAAUAUGUAGUGUAGCGGUGAAAUGCUUAGAGAUUACAUGGAAUACCAAUUGCGAAGGCAGGUUACUACCAAUAUAUUGACGCUGAUGGACGAAAGCGUGGGGAGCGAACAGG
RNAcentral lists this ribosomal RNA (253 nucleotides) under uncultured bacterium. RNAcentral describes it as "partial 16S ribosomal RNA". It matches the Rfam family "Bacterial small subunit ribosomal RNA", at positions 524 to 776 of the family's 1533-position model. The record is from RNAcentral.